This 127-nucleotide ribosomal RNA is filed under the name Echinops telfairi (small Madagascar hedgehog). Lineage: Eukaryota; Metazoa; Chordata; Mammalia; Afrosoricida; Tenrecidae. The record is from RNAcentral.
AGGGAUAGCCAUAACAUCCCGAAUGAAUCUGAUCUCUUCUGAUCUCGGAAGCUAAGCAGGAUGGAGCCUGGUUAGUAUUUGGAUGGCAAGAGGGAUGAACUCAAACCCAACCAGGACUCUGUUCAAG